Molecule: ribosomal RNA, 659 nt
Filed under: uncultured archaeon
Lineage: Archaea
Description: bacterial SSU rRNA
Rfam family: Archaeal small subunit ribosomal RNA
Source: RNAcentral
UGCUAUUGGGAUCCGACUAAGCCAUGCGAGUCGAGAGGGUUCGGCCCUCGGCGAACUGCUCAGUAACACGUGGAUAAUCUGCCCUUAGGUGGAGGAUAACCUCGGGAAACUGAGAAUAAUACUCCAUAGAUCUUUGAGGCUGGAAUGCGCUAAGAUUGAAAGCUUCGGCGCCUAAGGAUGAGUCUGCGGACUAUCAGGUUGUAGUCAGGGUAAAGACCUGACUAGCCUACGACGGAUACGGGUUGUGAGAGCAAUAACCCGGAGAUGAUAUCUGAGACACGAUAUCAGGCCCUACGGGGCGCAGCAGGCGCGAAAACUUCACAAUGCGCGAAAGCGCGAUGAGGGAAUCCCAAGUGCUUGCACGUAAGUGUAAGCUGUUUUUCUGUUUAAAAAGCAGAGAGAGUAAGAGCUGGGUAAGACGGGUGCCAGCCGCCGCGGUAAUACCUGCAGCUCAAGUGGUGGCCGCUAUUAUUGGGCCUAAAACGUCCGUAGCCGGCUAAGUAAAUGCCUGGGUAAAUCGUGCCGCUUAACGGUACGAAUUCCGGGUAGACUGCUUAGCUUGGGACCGGAAGAAGUUAGAGGUACUCCUGGGGUAGGGGUGAAAUCCUGUAAUCCUGGGGGGACCACCAGUGGCGAAGGCGUCUAACUAGGACGGGUCU